GGCGGUGCAGGAUGAGCCCGCGCCUAUCAGCUUGUUGGUGAGGUAAUGGCUCACCAAGCGACGACGGGUAGCGCCUGAGAGGCGACGGCCACACUGGACUGAGACACGGCCAGACUCCUACGGGAGGCAGCAGUGGGGAAUAUUGCACAAUGGGCGAAAGCCUGAUGCAGCGACGCCGCGUGAGGGAUGACGGCUUCGGGUUGUAAACCUCUUUCAGCAGGGAAGAAGCGAAAGUGACGGUACCUGCAGAAGAAGCGCCGGCUAACUACGUGCCAGCAGCCGCGGUAAUACGUAGGGCGCGAGCGUUGUCCGGAAUUAUUGGGCGUAAAGAGCUCGUAGGCGGCUUGUCACGUCGGUUGUGAAAGCCCGGGGCUUAACCCCGGGUCUGCAGUCGAUACGGGCAGGCUAGAGUUCGGUAGGGGAGAUCGGAAUUCCUGGUGUAGCGGUGAAAUGCGCAGAUAUCAGGAGGAACACCGGUGGCGAAGGCGGAUCUCUGGGCCGAUACUGACGCUGAGGAGCGAAAGCGUGGGGAGCGAACAGGAUUAGAUACCCUGGUAGUCCACGCCGUAAACGGUGGGCACUAGGUGUGGGCAACAUUCCACGUUGUCCGUGCCGCAGCUAACGCAUUAAGUGCCCCGCCUGGGGAGUACGGCCGCAAGGCUAAAACUCAAAGGAAUUGACGGGGGCCCGCACAAGCGGCGGAGCAUGUGGCUUAAUUCGACGCAACGCGAAGAACCUUACCAAGGCUUGACAUACACCGGAAACGUCUGGAGACAGGCGCCCCCUUGUGGUCGGUGUACAGGUGGUGCAUGGCUGUCGUCAGCUCGUGUCGUGAGAUGUUGGGUUAAGUCCCGCACGAGCGCAACCCUUGUCCCGUGUUGCCAGCAGGCCCUUGUGGUGCUGGGGACUCACGGGAGACCGCCGGGGUCAACUCGGAGGAAGGUGGGGACGACGUCAAGUCAUCAUGCCCCUUAUGUCUUGGGCUGCACACGUGCUACAAUGGCGUACAUGAGCUGCGAUACCGUGAGUGACGAUCUCAAAAAGCGUCUCAGUUCGGAUUGGGGUCUGCAACUCGACCCCAUGAAGUCGGAGUCGCUAGUAAUCGCAGAUCAGCAUUGCUGCGGUGAAUACGUUCCCGGGCCUUGUACACACCGCCCGUCACGUCACGAAAGUCGGUAACACCCGAAGCCGGUGGCCCAACCUCC
Molecule: ribosomal RNA, 1205 nt
Filed under: Streptomyces sp. HXLW-R47
Lineage: Bacteria; Bacillati; Actinomycetota; Actinomycetes; Kitasatosporales; Streptomycetaceae
Description: bacterial SSU rRNA
Rfam family: Bacterial small subunit ribosomal RNA
Source: RNAcentral